GAGAGAGACAUGUGAAAGAGAGACGUGAAGAGAGAGACGUGUGAAAGAGAGAGAGAGACGUGUGAAAGAGAGAGAGACAUGUGAAAGAGAGAGAGAGACAUGUGAAAGAGAGAGAGACGUGUGAAAGAGAGAGAGAGACGUGUGAAAGAGAGAGAGAGAGACGUGUGAAAGAGAGAGACGUGUGAAAGAGAGAGAGAGACGUGUGAAAGAGAGAGAGGGACGUGUGAAAGAGAGAGAGGGACGUGUGAAAGAGAGAGAGAGACGUGUGAAAGAGAGAGAGGGGCGUGUGAAAGAGAGAGAGAGACGUAUGAAAGAGAGAGAGGGACGUGUGAAAGAGAGAGAGACACGUGUGAAAGAGAGAGAGGGACGUGUGAAAGAGAGAGAGAGACGUGUGAAAGAGAGAGAGGGACGUGUGAAAGAGAGAGUGGGAGGUCAAUCAGUGAAGAACAAACACCAUUGUAAAUACAACCCAUAUUUAUGCUUAUUUAUUUUCCCUUUUGUACUUUAACCAUUUGUACAUCAUUACAAUACUGUAUUUAUACAUAAUGACAUUUGUAAUGUCUUUAUUAUUUUGGAACUUCAGUGAGUGGAAUGUUUACUGUUUAUAUUUAUUGUUUAUUUAACUUUUGUAUAUUAUCUACCUCACUUGCUUUGGCUUAUGUUAACAUAUGUUUCCCAUGCCAAUAAAGCCGCUUGAAUUGAAUUGAGAGGACUGUGUGAAAGAGAGAGAGAGAGAUGCCCACUCACAUACAGCUUAUGCAGCUAGUUCUACUACUGUACAACUCACACACAUAACAUGAAUAUCAAUGUAUAUAGGCAUAAUCACUGAUCAUACUGACCUUUAGUAUUGGUUUGCAUCACAGUCACGGGGGAAAGGGUAGACUCAGUUAAUUUGAUUUUGUUCAUCUAAACCCAAAUAAUGUAUCUCUGUGAUUCAAAGUUUACAGGUAUUAUUGCAUGUUGACUAACCAAUCGCAGUGAAAUUAGAUUAAAUAUAGUCAUGAUCAGUUUCAUAUAUUCCAAUCAUGUACAUUUACUAGAUUGGUUUGACAGCGGCAUUGACGUUGUUGAUUGGCUAGCAAGCAAAACUUGACGUUACACAUCGUUUACUUUUGGGAAAACUGCUCCAGACACUUGCCAGCUAGCUAUCCUUAGUUCAAAUAGCCUAAAGCAAAAUGAUGUAAUAAUAUGAAGCUGACAAUGAU
This 1205-nucleotide long non-coding RNA is filed under the name Salmo salar (Atlantic salmon). Its description in RNAcentral is "lncRNA (ENSSSAG00000100009.1)". The record is from RNAcentral. Lineage: Eukaryota; Metazoa; Chordata; Actinopteri; Salmoniformes; Salmonidae.